UGUCAGUUCUAUCCUUAUGCAUAAGUAUUGAUCUUAGUAGCUCUUUGAGCAAUUUAGGCAUAUCAUCUAUCACUUUUAGAUUUGAAUCAAGUUAAAGUGUAAAUUAAUGAAAUAUUGAUGCUAAAGACAAUCAAAAGUCAAAUACUUUUGACUCCCCCUUUCUUUUCCAGAAGGACAAUUGUCUUAAAGCCAAUAUUUUUCGAUUUUAUCUUUUCAUUUUGUUGAUUCUAAUUAAACUUUCAAGUAUGAGUGUAAAUUUUGCAUUUUGCAUUCCAUUUCCAUAUUGGUGGUUCUACUCCCCCUUUUUGUCAUCAACAAUGAAGGGGACAAAUUUUCCUUAGGUACCUAAAAACGCGAUGCCUAUUAGAAUUCAACAUUCAUAUUACCAUGAAACAUUCAAUGAUUUGGGAAGGUGAAAUUUACUCCCCCUUUGUUUCGGAAUUCAUUUCAGACCUUUUAAAUGCAAUUAUUACAAGUUGUGCUCCCCUUGUUUCAUAUGCAUUGUCAAGUUAGCAAUCCAUGGCACAUCACAGUAUUAGAAACAUACUCCAAGAUUCAAAAAGAAGGGUUAUGACAUUCAUAUAGUUUUACAAUCAUUUGAAGCUAUUACAAGGAUUGAUUGCUAAUACAAAAGAAAGAGUUUCAUAUAAGCCUAGGGUUUUACAAAAAGAUGAACCCUAGGUGUCCACAAAAUGUGCCUCACCGGCGACCACGCUCAAUAGCCCCAGCAGCAGCCUCCACAAACCUAUUUAUUGCAUCCAUUAGACUUCUAAAGUUAUCUCCCUGAGAUUGAUUGAGGGCUGUCACUAAGGCUUCAAAUUCAUGGGUUGCCCUGUCAAUCCUCCCUCUAAGCUGGGCAGCCACACUGCUCACAUUGCCUUCAGGGCUCGUCAGCUCUUGAAGACCAUCCGAUAUGAUCUUCAAU
RNAcentral lists this long non-coding RNA (925 nucleotides) under Phoenix dactylifera (date palm). RNAcentral's name for it is "long non-coding RNA (PDAC_LNC016953)". The record is from RNAcentral. Lineage: Eukaryota; Viridiplantae; Streptophyta; Magnoliopsida; Arecales; Arecaceae.